This 432-nucleotide ribosomal RNA is filed under the name uncultured bacterium. RNAcentral's name for it is "partial 16S ribosomal RNA". It matches the Rfam family "Bacterial small subunit ribosomal RNA", at positions 29 to 507 of the family's 1533-position model. The record is from RNAcentral.
AGCGAACGCUGGCGGCAGGCCUAACACAUGCAAGUCGAACGGAUCCUUCGGGAUAGUGGCGGACGGGUGAGUAACACGUGGGAACGUGCCCUUUGGUUCGGAACAACUCAGGGAAACUUGAGCUAAUACCGGAUGUGCCCUUCGGGGGAAAGAUUUAUCGCCAUUGGAGCGGCCCGCGUCUGAUUAGCUAGUUGGUGAGGUAACGGCCCACCAAGGCGACGAUCAGUAGCUGGUCUGAGAGGAUGAUCAGCCACACUGGGACUGAGACACGGCCCAGACUCCUACGGGAGGCAGCAGUGGGGAAUCUUGCGCAAUGGGCGAAAGCCUGACGCAGCCAUGCCGCGUGAAUGAUGAAGGUCUUAGGAUUGUAAAAUUCUUUCAGCGGGGACGAUAAUGACGGUACCCGCAGAAGAAGCUCCGGCUAACUUCGUG